RNAcentral lists this ribosomal RNA (305 nucleotides) under uncultured bacterium. Its description in RNAcentral is "partial 16S ribosomal RNA". It matches the Rfam family "Bacterial small subunit ribosomal RNA", at positions 508 to 807 of the family's 1533-position model. The record is from RNAcentral.
ACAGCAGUAGCCGCGGGAAUACGGAGGGUGCAAGCGUUAAUCGGAAUUACUGGGCGUAAAGAGUGCGUAGGUGGUUAGAUAAGUUAUGUGUGAAAUCCCUGGGCUUAACCUGGGCAGGUCAUAUAAUACUGUUUGACUCGAGUAUGGGAGAGGGUAGUGGAAUUUCCGGUGUAGCGGUGAAAUGCGUAGAGAUCGGAAGGAACACCAGUGGCGAAGGCGGCUACCUGGCCUAAUACUGACACUGAGGCACGAAAGCGUGGGGAGCAAACAGGAUUAGAUACCCGUGUAGUCCCUGUCUCUUAUAC